UUUUAUGAGAGUUUGAUCCUGGCUCAGGAUGAACGCUGGCGGCGUGCCUAACACAUGCAAGUCGAACGGAGAUUACGGACGGAAGUUUUCGGAUGGAAGACUGUAAUUCUUAGUGGCGGACGGGUGAGUAACGCGUGGGCAACCUGCCCUAUACAGGGGGAUAGCAGCUGGAAACGGCUGGUAAGACCGCAUAAGUCGGUUAAAUCGCAUGAUUUGAUCGGGAAAUGAGCAAUCAGGUAUAGGAUGGGCCCGCGUCCGAUUAGCCAGUUGGCAGGGUAAAAGCCU
This 285-nucleotide non-coding RNA is filed under the name Catonella morbi ATCC 51271. RNAcentral's name for it is "Bacterial small subunit ribosomal RNA". It matches the Rfam family "Bacterial small subunit ribosomal RNA", at positions 1 to 266 of the family's 1533-position model. The record is from Rfam by way of RNAcentral. Lineage: Bacteria; Bacillati; Bacillota; Clostridia; Lachnospirales; Lachnospiraceae.